This 497-nucleotide ribosomal RNA is filed under the name uncultured bacterium. RNAcentral's name for it is "partial 16S ribosomal RNA". It matches the Rfam family "Bacterial small subunit ribosomal RNA", at positions 28 to 507 of the family's 1533-position model. The record is from RNAcentral.
GAUGAACGCUGGCGGCGUGCCUAAUACAUGCAAGUCGAGCGAAAAGACGAGGUGCUUGCUCCUCUGACGUUAGCGGCGGACGGGUGAGUAACACGUGGAUAACCUACCUAUCAGACUGGGAUAACUUCGGGAAACCGGAGCUAAUACCGGAUAAUACAUCGAACCGCAUGGCUCAAUAGUGAAAGACGGCUUUGCUGUCACCUAUUGAUGGAUCCGCGCCGCAUUAGCUAGUUGGUAAGGUAACGGCUUACCAAGGCAACGAUGCAUAGCCGACCUGAGAGGGUGAUCGGCCACACUGGAACUGAGACACGGUCCAGACUCCUACGGGAGGCAGCAGUAGGGAAUCUUCCGCAAUGGGCGAAAGCCUGACGGAGCAACGCCGCGUGAGUGAUGAAGGUCUUCGGAUCGUAAAACUCUGUUAUUAGGGAAGAACAAAUGUGUAAGUAACUGUGCACGUCUUGACGGUACCUAAUCAGAAAGCCACGGCUAACUACGUG